CCUACGGGAGGCUGCAGUGAGGAAUAUUGGUCAAUGGACGCAAGUCUGAACCAGCCAUGCCGCGUGCAGGAAGACGGCUCUAUGAGUUGUAAACUGCUUUUGUACGAGGGUAAACGCAGAUACGCGUAUCUGUCUGAAAGGAUCGUACGAAUAAGGAUCGGCUAACUCCGUGCCAGCAGCCGCGGUAAUACGGAGGAUUCAAGCGUUGUCCGGAUUUAUUGGGUUUAAAGCGUGCGUAGGCGGUCGGAUAAGUUAGAGGUGAAAUCCCGAGGCUCAACUGCGGAAUUGCCUCUGAUACUGUGCGGCUAGAGAGCAGUUGCGGUAGGCGGAAUGUAUGGUGUAGCGGUGAAAUGCUUAGAGAUCAGACAGAACACCGAUUGCGAAGGCAGCUCACCAAGCUACUUCUGACGUUGAGGCACGAAAGCGUGGGGAGCAAACAGGAUUAGAUACCCCAGUAGUC
RNAcentral lists this ribosomal RNA (460 nucleotides) under uncultured bacterium. RNAcentral's name for it is "partial 16S ribosomal RNA". It matches the Rfam family "Bacterial small subunit ribosomal RNA", at positions 338 to 795 of the family's 1533-position model. The record is from RNAcentral.